AUUGAACGCUGGCGGCAGGCCUAACACAUGCAAGUCGAACGGUAACAGGAAGAAGCUUGCUUCUUUGCUGACGAGUGGCGGACGGGUGAGUAAUGUCUGGGAAACUGCCUGAUGGAGGGGGAUAACUACUGGAAACGGUAGCUAAUACCGCAUAACGUCGCAAGACCAAAGAGGGGGACCUUCGGGCCUCUUGCCAUCGGAUGUGCCCAGAUGGGAUUAGCUAGUAGGUGGGGUAACGGCUCACCUAGGCGACGAUCCCUAGCUGGUCUGAGAGGAUGACCAGCCACACUGGAACUGAGACACGGUCCAGACUCCUACGGGAGGCAGCAGUGGGGAAUAAUGCGCAAUGGGCGCAAGCCUGAUGCAGCCAUGCCGCGUGUAUGAAGAAGGCCUUCGGGUUGUAAAGUACUUUCAGCGGGGAGGAAGGGAGUAAAGUUAAUACCUUUGCUCAUUGACGUUACCCGCAGAAGAAGCACCGGCUAACUCCGUG
This 490-nucleotide ribosomal RNA is filed under the name uncultured bacterium. RNAcentral's name for it is "partial 16S ribosomal RNA". It matches the Rfam family "Bacterial small subunit ribosomal RNA", at positions 30 to 507 of the family's 1533-position model. The record is from RNAcentral.